Molecule: ribosomal RNA, 253 nt
Filed under: uncultured bacterium
Lineage: Bacteria
Description: partial 16S ribosomal RNA
Rfam family: Bacterial small subunit ribosomal RNA
Source: RNAcentral
UACGGAGGAUGCAAGCGUUAUCCGGAAUGAUUGGGCGUAAAGCGUCCGCAGGUGGCUGUGUAAGUCUGCUGUCAAAGAGCGAAGCUCAACUUCGUAAAGGCAGUGGAAACUACACGGCUAGAGUGCGUUCGGGGCAGAGGGAAUUCCUGGUGUAGCGGUGAAAUGCGUAGAUAUCUGGAGGAACACCGGUGGCGAAGGCGGCGUUCUGGACUGCAACUGACACUGAGGAACGAAAGCCAGGGGAGCAAACGGG